UACGAAGGGGGCUAGCGUUGCUCGGAAUCACUGGGCGUAAAGCGCACGUAGGCGGCUUUUUUAAGUCAGAGGUGAAAUCCUGGAGCUCAACUCCAGAACUGCCUUUGAUACUGGAGAGCUUGAGUCCGGGAGAGGUGAGUGGAACUGCGAGUGUAGAGGUGAAAUUCGUAGAUAUUCGCAAGAACACCAGUGGCGAAGGCGGCUCACUGGCCCGGUACUGACGCUGAGGUGCGAAAGCGUGGGGAGCAAACAGGG
RNAcentral lists this ribosomal RNA (255 nucleotides) under uncultured bacterium. RNAcentral's name for it is "partial 16S ribosomal RNA". It matches the Rfam family "Bacterial small subunit ribosomal RNA", at positions 524 to 777 of the family's 1533-position model. The record is from RNAcentral.